AUCACGGAUGUACUGCCAGUACCAUUCCCGCGCGUUUCCUGUAACCAGAUUCAUUAAGAGGGGGACACGUGACUAGCCGGGACCAGUAACCGCUCCAGUUUCUGCGCUCCACUUGACAGUCGCCCUACGGAUAUCCUACAAUUGCGAACACCACCUUUGUGUGGCCUGUCAUCUACUCUAGUCAUCGCUCUAAGCGAUGGCC
Drosophila miranda is the source of this 202-nucleotide long non-coding RNA. RefSeq lists it as uncharacterized. Lineage: Eukaryota; Metazoa; Arthropoda; Insecta; Diptera; Drosophilidae. The transcript is spliced from 2 exons. The record is from RefSeq and is a predicted model, not a curated record.